AUGGAAAGCUGUACUCUGCAAAGUUAUUUUGAUGCAUCAUGUGGUGUUCAUUGCAAAUAUCCGUGUGAAUUGAGUAAAAAUGAUUGAAAGGAAUUUACAAGAACAGAUUGGACAUAGAGCUCGUGUAAAUUAAGAGGGAAAAAAAUCCGUGAAACGAGAAAGUGUAGUUUGGGAAUAUUACUGUCAUCGUGUUGAUCAGGGUAUCGGCAAUUUUCCUUACUACUGACAUCAGUAUGGUCUAUGUCGGAAGUUUAGCUUCUAAGGUAAUCCACCAGAAUCCAAGAGUAAGACCUCAGAGAGGAGUUGCAGUCCGAUUGUGUCAGCUUACUCAACUUGGAGAGGGAAUAUAAUGUACCGGCGCCACCGGUACAUUUGGACAGCUGUUUGAACAGCUUAAUAGAAUGAUCAAGAACUUGUUUGACUGAAGAGAUAGAAUGAAAAGGGAAGACCCAAAAGUGUUUUAUAACAGAUACUGUGAGAGUACCGGAAUGCGCAAGAUGGCUUGCAUCAUGGUUAUGAAGGAAAAGCUGACAGUAUUUUUGAGACAGCAAGAAAAACAUCAUUGCACACCAUCAACUAAUGACUCCAAAGGAAUAACAAAGAUUAAGAGUACAAAGAAUGGAUUCAAUGCUGGUACUUGGAUAAAGAUAAUCAGGCAUGGGCUCUCAUAUCCCAUGUAUCUUCAGCACCUUUAGGUUACAGUUUUAUAUUUCACUAGAAGAGACUCAUAAAUAAACAAAGGACAGUCAGUUACUACAAAAGAGAAGCAUCGGAGAUUAGUGAUAUUUUGUUCAGCAUUAUUGCAUCUUACAAAAUGUAAUCUAUUAAAAUUUUGUUUACAUCUAUCAAUUAAUGAUUUUGAUACAUGUACCAGUAAUAAAUAAUUUUGAUGUGGGAUAAACUGAUAAAAUUGAAUGGAAAACAAGCAGAUGACUUGGUAAUGAUGUGUAAAAGACAUCAUUCAUUUAAUUAAUACAUGUAAUUGCAUGCAGUUAAAAUUCAGUCAAAAUUCUUGUGGUGUAUAUUGAAAGGUGUAACCAAGAGGGAAACAUAAAAUGAUUUUCAUAUUAUCAUUAAAAUAAAAGUAAAGUUGUAUAUUAUACAAUUAUUUCUGUUUUUGAGGUCAUUACAAUGGUUUGGCUUGCCUAGGUGUAUGCAUUUACUGAUCCUAAAGAAGGAAGUAAAUAUUGUCCCUCGAUGGUUGUUGGAUCAAUAUAUUAACCCCCCCCCCCAAAAUAAAUAAAUGCAAUUUCAAUUCUGUAUAAUACCCUAUGUAUCAUACCCACAGGGUAUGGUGUGUAUGAAACAAGCGUGACCUUUUGAUUUGGCUGUUGGACUUACAAAAAAUUUAUAGGCUGAAAAAAACCCCUCAAAAAUGGGAUAUGAUACUGUUUUUGUAAAUAUGGAUUAUCUCCCUUUUCAGCUUAAAAUUAGAACAUUUUACUGGUCAUGAAAAUAUUUUGAUUAAAUGAAAAGUAAAAUUGUGUUGUAUUUCAAAUUGGAAAAUUGAGAAAUUUUUUUGAAAUGUCAAUUUAUUCGUACAUGCAUACCCGGUAUAUAUUCAUGAUAUGCGUAUAGGGCAUAUAUAUUGGACUGUGACAAAAAAAGGGAAAUUGCCAUUUUUUAUAUGAAACUCGUCAAUCGUUUUUGGAAAAUAAUAAUCAUUUGCACAAAAAUGUUUUAAUUAUUUUAUUUGCUAUAGGGUUUGAUGUCUAUGAAAUAAGCAUGACCUUUUGGUUUGGCUGUUGGGUUUUUUAAUUUUUUGAUAGCUGAAAAUCCUCAAAAAAUUGAUAUUUUGCUGUUUUUGUCAGUAUGGAUUAUCUCCCUUUUCAGCUUAAAAUUGGAACAUCUUACUGGUCAUGAAAAUAUUUAGAUUAAUUAAGAUAGGUAAAUAAUUGUGUUGUAUUUGAGUUUGGAAAUGUAAAGAAAUUGUGUUGAAAUGUCAGUUUCCUUUUACAUGCAUACAUAUAUGGCAUAUAUUGGACUGUGACAAAAAAAGGGAAAUUGCCAUUUUUUGUAUGAAACUCGUCAAUCGUUUUGGGAAAAUAAUAAUCAUUUGCACAAAAAUGUUUUAAUUAUUUUAUUUUCUAUAGGGUAUGGUGUCUAUGAAACUAGCAUGGCCUUUUGGUUUGGCUGUUGGGUUUUUUAAUUUUUUGAUAGCUGAAAAUCCUCAAAAAAUUGAUAUUUUGCUGUUUUUGUCAAUAUGGAUUAUCUCCCCUUUUCAGCUUAAAAUUAGAACAUUUUACUGGACAAGGACAUAUUUUGAUUAAUUAUGAAAAGUUACUACUUGAGCUGUAUUUGAA
Long non-coding RNA from Saccostrea echinata, 2303 nucleotides. RefSeq lists it as uncharacterized. NCBI's taxonomy places the organism in Eukaryota, Metazoa, Mollusca, Bivalvia, Ostreida, Ostreidae. The transcript has 4 exons. The record is from RefSeq and is a predicted model, not a curated record.